CGCUCCCAGAGUACCACAGCUUGUAGCCAUCCACAUCCCUAGCCUUAGACCCUACCCACUUGGUCUCUUGGACACACGCAAUGUUGAUCCUCCUCUUCCUAAGAAUCUUCACAAGCUCUAUGGACUUACCCUGAAGGGUCCCUAUAUUCCAAGACCCAACCCUCAGUCUACCGUCACUCUCCACACGCCCUUCACUACCCCCUCCGAGGCCAAACCUUGGCCUCCCUCCCACUCCCGCCCUCUCCUCAUCCCCCGCCCCCACCACGACCCCAC
Molecule: long non-coding RNA, 273 nt
Filed under: Capsicum annuum
Lineage: Eukaryota; Viridiplantae; Streptophyta; Magnoliopsida; Solanales; Solanaceae
Description: long non-coding RNA (CANN_LNC001517)
Source: RNAcentral